CCUACGGGUCGCACCAGUGGGGAAUAUUGGACAAUGGGCGAAAGCCUGAUCCAGCAAUGCCGCGUGUGUGAAGAAGGUCCUCGGAUUGUAAAGCACUUUCGACGGGGACGAUGAUGACGGUACCCGUAGAAGAAGCCCCGGCUAACUUCGUGCCAGCAGCCGCGGUAAUACGAAGGGGGCUAGCGUUGCUCGGAAUGACUGGGCGUAAAGGGCGCGUAGGCGGUUUAUGCAGUCAGAUGUGAAAUCCCCGGGCUUAACCUGGGAACUGCAUUUGAGACGCAUAGACUAGAGGUCGAGAGAGGGUUGUGGAAUUCCCAGUGUAGAGGUGAAAUUCGUAGAUAUUGGGAAGAACGCCGGUGGCGAAGGCGGCAACCUGGCUCUAUACUGACGCUGAGGCGCGAAAGCGUGGGGAGCAAACGGGAUUAGAUACCCUUGUA
RNAcentral lists this ribosomal RNA (437 nucleotides) under uncultured bacterium. Its description in RNAcentral is "bacterial SSU rRNA". It matches the Rfam family "Bacterial small subunit ribosomal RNA", at positions 338 to 792 of the family's 1533-position model. The record is from RNAcentral.